Molecule: ribosomal RNA, 253 nt
Filed under: uncultured bacterium
Lineage: Bacteria
Description: partial 16S ribosomal RNA
Rfam family: Bacterial small subunit ribosomal RNA
Source: RNAcentral
UACAGAGGUCCCAAGCGUUGUUCGGAUUUACUGGGCGUAAAGGGUGCGUAGGUGGCGAGGUAAGUUCGAUGUGAAAUCUCCGAGCUCAACUCGGAAAUGGCAUUGAAUACUAUCCCGCUUGAGGGUCGGAGGGGAGACUGGAAUUCUCGGUGUAGCAGUGAAAUGCGUAGAUAUCGAGAGGAACACCAGUGGCGAAGGCGAGUCUCUGGACGACUCCUGACACUGAGGCACGAAAGCUAGGGGAGCAAACGGG